RNAcentral lists this long non-coding RNA (267 nucleotides) under Homo sapiens (human). Its description in RNAcentral is "non-protein coding lnc-SPCS3-3:1". The record is from RNAcentral. Lineage: Eukaryota; Metazoa; Chordata; Mammalia; Primates; Hominidae.
GGGGGUGGGUGGGCAAAUCCUCGAGCUUGAUGUGUAGGGAAGGGAGGGGGCCUGAAUAAUCCCUGAGGAGUAGGAAGAAGGAAAUAUGGGGAAAUGGGGUGAAUGUCAGGUGGAUCAGAGCGAUACAGUCAUGGGGGUCAGGUGUGGUAUCCAGAAUAAUGUGGGAGGCCGGAUUGAAGUCGGGCCAGGAACAAUGGUAAUUGUGGGAGACUCAACAAAGAGUGAGUACAGCUGAAGGAGGCGGGGAGCAGAAAGUAUAUGCAUCAG